UGCAUGUCUCAGUAUAAACGAUUUAACAGUGAAACCGCGAACGGCUCAUUACAACAGGUAUAAUUUACUUGAUCUUGAAAGAAUCCUACUUGGAUAACUGUGGUAAUUCUAGAGCUAAUACAUGCCCUAAAGCUCUGACCUCGCGGGAAGAGUGCAUUUAUUAGAUCAAAACCAAGCGGCUUCGGCCGUCUACCACUGACUUAAAGUAACUAAGCUGAUCGUAUGGUCUUGUACCGACGACGUAUCUUUCAAGUAUCUGCCUUAUCAACUUUCGAUGGUAGUGUAGUGGACUACCAUGGUUGUGACGGGUAACGGAGGAUAAGGGUUCGACUCCGGAGAGGGAGCUUGAGACACGGCUACCAUGUCUAAGGACAGCAGCAGGCGCGCAAAUUACCCACUCUCAGAACGAGGAGGUAGUGACGAAAAAUAACGAGACCGUUCUCUAUGAGGCCGGUCAUCGGAAUGGGUACAAUCUAAACCCUUUAACGAGUAUCUAUGAGAGGGCAAGUCUGGUGCCAGCAGCCGCGGUAAUUCCAGCUCUCAAAAUGCAUAGAAUUAUUGCUGCGGUUAAAAAGCUCGUAGUUGGAUCUGUGCUGGGAAUUGGGUCCGCCUUCGGGUGUGCACUCAGCUUCCCGGCUUUUUGCUGGUUUUCCCGUUGUGGCCUUUACCGGUUGCAGCGGGUGGCUGGCGAGUUUACCUUGAAGAAAUCAAAGUGCUUAAUACAGGCGAUUUGCUUGAAUGUGGUGCAUGGAAUAAUAGAAAAGGAUUUCGGUUCUCUUUUAUUGGUUUUACGAGCUGAGAUAAUGGUUAACAGAGACAAACGGGGGCAUUCGUAUCGUUGCGUGAGAGGUGAAAUUCUUGGACCGCAGCGAGACGAACUACAGCGAAAGCAUUUGCCAAGAAUGUCUUCAUUAAUCAAGAACGAAAGUCAGAGGUUCGAAGGCGAUCAGAUACCGCCC
Molecule: ribosomal RNA, 959 nt
Filed under: Aphelenchus avenae
Lineage: Eukaryota; Metazoa; Nematoda; Chromadorea; Rhabditida; Aphelenchidae
Description: SSU rRNA
Rfam family: Eukaryotic small subunit ribosomal RNA
Source: RNAcentral